This 540-nucleotide ribosomal RNA is filed under the name Pristimantis boulengeri (Boulenger's robber frog). Its description in RNAcentral is "partial 16S ribosomal RNA". It matches the Rfam family "Bacterial large subunit ribosomal RNA", at positions 1853 to 2597 of the family's 2925-position model. Lineage: Eukaryota; Metazoa; Chordata; Amphibia; Anura; Strabomantidae. The record is from RNAcentral.
GUCAGCCUGCCCAGUGACUCUUGUUUAACGGCCGCGGUAUCCUAACCGUGCAAAGGUAGCGUAAUCACUUGUUUUCUAAAUAAAGACUAGUAUGAAAGGCACCACGAGGACUAAACUGUCUCCUUUUUUUAAUCAGUGAAUCUAAUCUCCCCGUGAAGAAGCGGGGAUUCUUAUAUAAGACGAGAAGACCCCAUGGAGCUUAAAACAUCAUAGCACCUGCCCCGCCUCCCCCCCGCCCCGGCAUUUCUUUUUCUAGGCACACUGACUAUAUGUUUUUGGUUGGGGCGACCGCGGAGAAAAACUUAUCCUCCACGAUGAAAGGGAAUUUCCCUAAACAAUAAGCCACAACUUUAUGUAUCAACAAAUUGACAUUUAUUGACCCGAUAUAUCGACUAACGAACCAAGUUACCCUGGGGAUAACAGCGCAAUCCACUUCAAGAGCCCCUAUCGACAAGUGGGCUUACGACCUCGAUGUUGGAUCGGGGUACCCCAGUGGUGUAGCCGCUACUAAAGGUUCGUUUGUUCAACGAUUAAAACCCC